Molecule: ribosomal RNA, 248 nt
Filed under: uncultured Lachnospiraceae bacterium
Lineage: Bacteria; Bacillati; Bacillota; Clostridia; Lachnospirales; Lachnospiraceae
Description: partial 16S ribosomal RNA
Rfam family: Bacterial small subunit ribosomal RNA
Source: RNAcentral
UACGUAGGGGGCAAGCGUUAUCCGGAAUUACUGGGUGUAAAGGGAGCGUAGACGGUAAAGCAAGUCUGGAGUGAAAGGCUGGGGCCCAACCCCGGGACUGCUCUGGAAACUGCCGUGCUGGAGUGCAGGAGGGGUAAGCGGAAUUCCUGGUGUAGCGGUGAAAUGCGUAGAUAUCAGGAGGAACACCGGCGGCGAAGGCGGCUUUCUGGACUGAAACUGACACUGAGGCACGAAAGCGUGGGGAGCAA